ACUCCUACGGGAGGCAGCAGUGGGGAAUAUUGGACAAUGGGCGAAAGCCUGAUCCAGCCAUGCCGCGUGUGUGAAGAAGGUCUUCGGAUUGUAAAGCACUUUAAGUUGGGAGGAAGGGCAGUAAAUUAAUACUUUGCUGUUUUGUACGUUACCGACAGAAUAAGCACCGGCUAACUCUGUGCCAGCAGCCGCGGUAAUACAGAGGGUGCAAGCGUUAAUCGGAAUUACUGGGCGUAAAGCGCGCGUAGGUGGUUUGUUAAGUUGGAUGUGAAAUCCCCGGGGCUCAACCUGGGAACUGCAUUCAAAACUGACUGACUAGAGUAUGGUAGAGGGUGGUGGAAUUUCCUGUGUAGCGGUGAAAUGCGUAGAUAUAGGAAGGAACACCAGUGGCGAAGGCGACCACCUGGACUAAUACUGACACUGAGGUGCGAAAGCGUGGGGAGCAAACAGGAUUAGAUA
RNAcentral lists this ribosomal RNA (459 nucleotides) under uncultured bacterium. RNAcentral describes it as "bacterial SSU rRNA". It matches the Rfam family "Bacterial small subunit ribosomal RNA", at positions 335 to 784 of the family's 1533-position model. The record is from RNAcentral.